This 77-nucleotide transfer RNA is filed under the name Candidatus Saccharibacteria bacterium SW_7_54_9. RNAcentral describes it as "tRNA-Ile". It matches the Rfam family "tRNA". From Rfam's summary of the family: Transfer RNA (tRNA) molecules are approximately 80 nucleotides in length. Their secondary structure includes four short double-helical elements and three loops (D, anti-codon, and T loops). Lineage: Bacteria; Candidatus Saccharimonadota. The record is from RNAcentral.
GGGGCUGUAGCUCAGUGGUUGAGAGCGCACGCCUGAUAAGCGUGAGGCCGGAGGUUCGAGUCCUCCCAGCCCCACCC